The sequence is a regulatory RNA element, 92 nucleotides long. It matches the Rfam family "pan motif". The record is from Rfam.
AAGAUAGUAUUUAACAAACUAUACUUUAUCUGAUUUAUAUAAAAAUCUUCUAAAAAUAACUUGCUUAUAUACAUAAGUAAUAAGACGAAUGU